AACCAUUCUCACCUGCGGCUAGACCUGCGGAAGGAUCAUUACAGAGAUUGAUGCACCAAGUGCAUCACCUCCAACCCCUUGCGAAAACAACUAUCAUGUGUUGCUUUGGCAGUGUUUCCACUGCCAGAGGUUUACAUAAAAUCAGCUGUUGGAUGUUGUCUGAGUAAACUAUAUGAAUUAUUUAAAACUUUCAACAACGGAUCU
RNAcentral lists this unclassified non-coding RNA (204 nucleotides) under soil metagenome. Its description in RNAcentral is "partial contains 5.8S ribosomal RNA, internal transcribed spacer 2, and large subunit ribosomal RNA". The record is from RNAcentral.